GGAGGCUGGCGGCGGACGUGCCGCUCGCCAACCGGGUCAGAUCCGGAAGGAAGCAGCCCUAACGAGUUUCCGGCGCGGGUUGCCGCUCAGUCUCCCAC
RNAcentral lists this signal recognition particle RNA (98 nucleotides) under Hyphomicrobiales bacterium. RNAcentral's name for it is "signal recognition particle sRNA small type". It matches the Rfam family "Bacterial small signal recognition particle RNA". From Rfam's summary of the family: The signal recognition particle (SRP) is a universally conserved ribonucleoprotein involved in the co-translational targeting of proteins to membranes. Archaeal SRP consists of a 7S RNA and homologues of the eukaryotic SRP19 and SRP54 proteins. Lineage: Bacteria; Pseudomonadati; Pseudomonadota; Alphaproteobacteria; Hyphomicrobiales. The record is from RNAcentral.